GAUUAAGCCCAUCUAUCUCUGUUUUCCUAUACCUUGCUAACAGUUCCCGAUUUGUUUAUGACAGAAAUCAAAGUAUUUUGGAGGUUGGAAUCUGAUGGCAUAGAUUGCUCUCUUAACAAAAAAGAUAGGAAGGAUAUUGGGACAAAGAGAAAAACAUCUCUUUUUGGAUUGUGAGUAAAACUUCUGAAAGGAGGGAGAGUCUCCAGUAGCUGUCUUUACUGAUCAUCAUUUCUUUAUAAUCAGAGGAAUUGAUCACCUAGAUAUCCUCAUACUCCUCUUUCCCCCAAUCCCAACAGAGAAAGGGCUGCCAUCUUGGAAAUCUCAUGUAACACUGACCAUCAGUUCAUAAGUCUGAUGGAUGGAUGUCCCUGGUCCCAUUCUCUUGUCCAUC
This 391-nucleotide long non-coding RNA is filed under the name Bos taurus (domestic cattle). RNAcentral's name for it is "long non-coding RNA NONBTAT024611". The record is from RNAcentral. Lineage: Eukaryota; Metazoa; Chordata; Mammalia; Artiodactyla; Bovidae.